This 497-nucleotide ribosomal RNA is filed under the name uncultured bacterium. RNAcentral's name for it is "partial 16S ribosomal RNA". It matches the Rfam family "Bacterial small subunit ribosomal RNA", at positions 28 to 507 of the family's 1533-position model. The record is from RNAcentral.
GAUGAACGCUGGCGGCGUGCCUAAUACAUGCAAGUCGAGCGAACGGACGAGAAGCUUGCUUCUCUGAUGUUAGCGGCGGACGGGUGAGUAACACGUGGAUAACCUACCUAUAAGACUGGGAUAACUUCGGGAAACCGGUGCUAAUACCGGAUGAUAUUUUGAACCGCAUGGUUCAAAAGUGAAAGACGGUCUUGCUGUCACUUAUAGAUGUAUCCGCGCUGCAUUAGCUAGUUGGUAAGGUAACGGCUUACCAAGGCAACGAUGCAUAGCCGACCUGAGAGGGUGAUCGGCCACACUGGAACUGAGACACGGUCCAGACUCCUACGGGAGGCAGCAGUAGGGAAUCUUCCGCAAUGGGCGAAAGCCUGACGGAGCAACGCCGCGUGAGUGAUGAAGGUCUUCGGAUCGUAAAACUCUGUUAUUAGGGAAGAACAUAUGUGUAAGUAACUGUGCACAUCUUGACGGUACCUAAUCAGAAAGCCACGGCUAACUACGUG